This is a long non-coding RNA of Polyodon spathula (Mississippi paddlefish), 4278 nucleotides long. RefSeq lists it as uncharacterized. The record is from RefSeq and is a predicted model, not a curated record. The transcript has 3 exons. Lineage: Eukaryota; Metazoa; Chordata; Actinopteri; Acipenseriformes; Polyodontidae.
GGCCGUGUGGUUCACAUCAUCCAAUCCAGAGAGCCUUCGCUCAGAGACUCCAACCCAGACGAGAUCGAGAUCGACUUCGAAACGCUCAAACCUUCCACGCUGCGCGAACUCGAGCGAUAUGUCAAGUCUUGUUUACAGAAAAAACAGCGCAAACCUUUACCUGGCACAGGGAAAAAACAAAGUGCGAAGUCUAAGGAGGAGCUUGCUCAGGAAAAGAAGAAAGAGUUAGAAAAGAGACUGCAGGACGUGAGCGGACAGCUGAACAACAACAAGAAACCGCCCAAAAAAGCAGAGAAGGCAGGCUCUGGUCCAGCAGGCGGCCCUUCAAGGCUAAGUGGAAGCAGCAGCUCUUCAGAUUCUGGGAGCAGUAGUUCUAGUGGAUCAAGCUCUGACAGCAGCGACUCGGAUUAAAAAACAAGCUCACUCAAAAAAAACAAAAAAACCUGGAACUUUUUUUUAUUUGUGGUUUUUUUUUUUUGUGGUUUAAUUUUUUUAAAUACAGAAAACGUUGUGUGCAGUCAGAAGUCUUCCCUCUGGAGACUUUAGAUUUUUUUUUUUUUUUUUAAAUAAAAGAAAGUUACACAUUCAGAACAUUUAACAUUUUUAUAAAGACUAUUUAAAAACAAAAAACAAAACAAAAAAAAAAACACAAAGUGUAAGCAAGCGUAAUAAAGUGCAAAGGCAGUUACUAUGUUAAUGCUUGGCAACAUGCCCCAAUUGGGUUGGGGGUGAGGAUGAGGCGGCCUUUUUGUUUGCCUGAGUGGAAUUCUAGAUUAGAGCAAAAUGAACGAACAAUUCAGAGGGGAGAAAAGUCUGAUUUUACAAGUCCCAGCUGUUGUGAUAUUUAUUUUAAAAAUAAAUACAUUGUGCAGCGUUUGUAAUUUUUUUUUUUUUAAGUUUAAAAUCAAGCAAACAUUUUUGCCAAGUUAUAAUUCAAUUUUUAACAUUGCACAGUGUGCUGGGAUUCUAUCUUUUAAAAAAAAAAAAAAAAAAAAUUAAGGUUUUUUUUGGUUUGUUUUACUCCUAAAUAUGUACAUGCACAGUCUAGCAAAGAGUUUGACCUGUGCACAGUCAUCACAUUCCAGUAACGUUUACCCCUGCCUUUGCAUGUAAUUAUGUCGGCCUUAUUUAUUUGACAUUUUGGGUAAAUGGUUUUAGAAUAGGUGCAUGAGAACAUGAAAGGUGUUUGUUUCUUGUCAACCUCCAUUGUUAAGUAGGCAUCUAUCUGAAAUGUCCGCUAAAAAGAAAACAACUCAAACAAAUCUUGCAGGUUCCGUAUUACAUGGCUGUAUACCUGUGCUGGUGCUUUGUCCGGGACUUCAGAUAGGGUGUGGGGACAAGCCUGCAUCUGACUCCCAGAGCUGUGUUUUUAUUAGGAAUGGAGUUACUCUAAUCUGAACACGCACGUCAUUAAAAUACAUUCCUUCAGAGAACUGGUUGCAAUUUGAUGAUAAAAAAUUAAACUAGCUCUUUUUUUUAAAAUGUUGGAUUUAGUUUUAUUUGAUCCUUGAGCAUAUAGAAGUAUCCACCUUGUAUAUGUAACCCCUUUGUUUUAAGGAUGUCUUAAAGCUGAAUCUGCAGCUUGUGAAGGUCCACUCAUGGUACAAUCAAAUUUGUGGCUUGUGUGGCUGUCCAUUACAUUGGCCAUUGUGCUUUUAUGGUUUAAGAGAUCUUGGCCUGUAGCUGUAUCCACCAUUGUUUUGAGGCUUUAAAUGCAUACCCAGGGCAGAGGCACUAUGUGUUGACAAGUUGUGAGGAAUCACAUGUACUGAACAGAAAGCAGCUGAAGGCCCAUGGAGAGGGUAGUAAUGCUAUUAUGGAGUGAAUGUUUUGCUGUGUGGAAGUGUUUUUAGCUUUUGCACUGGAUUGCUGAUGGAAACCAUGUCUUUGUUAUAAUGAAAGGUUCAAGAUACUAAAGCUUCUAACAUGGUGUAGUGCCCUCUUAUUGUAAAAGUCAACCUAAUUCAGUUGUAAAUGAUGUGGUGCUUUAAGCAUGGACUUUCAGAUAUAACAUUUUGUCAUGAAGAAACUUUCAAAAUGUAUACCUGUCUUUUUUUUUAAGCAACUUGCAAAGUUGCUUGCCCUUUAACAGGAGAUGACCUUAUUGAUUCUCAACUGGCCAUUCAAGUAAAUUCAGUUAUGUUGUCGUGGGUCUUCGUUAAACAAACUUUAAAAAUUUAAGGUUUUGUGUCAUAGUUAUUUUUAAGCUUUUGAAGUUGUUUGUAGGAGUUUGAGAUAUUACUAAUUCACUUGCUAAAUGAUGAUGCAGAGGCCACCCUGCAUUGUUGCAUUGCCAGGUUUUGGGGUUUUCUUUGUUAGCUUGCAUCUUUCAGCCUUGACUGGUAGGAACUGGAACCUGUGCAGGUGGUGUUUUAGUUCAUGCCAGCAUGUGGCACAGUUGCUUCAGUUUUGCAGCAGUGCUGGCACUUUUUGGUGGAGAUCAACAUCUCAAGAUGUAAAUGUGAAGGUGCAAACUGAAGCGUGAUAGGGUUUGUAGUAAUGACCUCUGGAUGAGGCUAUAUUUUUUAAAUUCCUGGAUUUAUACAGCAUAAUGAUAUUCUGUUAUGGUAGACAUUAUUGACAGUAUUGAGCUAUUUUAGCCCUGUAACUCCUGGCCAGCCACACAAAAAAUAAUAAUUGCUGAAAAUAUCCACCCUGGCUUCUGUAAACUCUGUUAAUACUGUGGGUAUUGGACAGUUCUGUUUCCCCAACAGCCGUCUCAUUCUUGAAUUUUAGGAUAUAGAAUAUUAUGAACUUGUAGCCUAAAAUUGACUACUUUCUUCCUUUUUAUAUAAAAAAAAAAAAAAAAACCUUUUUAAAAAAAAAAAAAAAAGAAAGUUUGGAGCUCCCGGGGUCCCUGUUCUGUAACGGUUACACUUCACUGUUUUUAACAUUUUUUAAAUAAAUCUUGUAAUAUGCUGUAUAAUGUUGCUUUAUCAGUAGAUAGGACUAGUAUUGUUUGUUUGAGGUAGAGUCUUCCUGGUCACCCGCUGCAGAUUCUUGUUUUGCUCUACAGUGACCCCAGCUGGCAGAAACAGGAGCUGCAGCAUUGUGGGAGGAGGAGCAGGAGCCUGUUUCUGUUUAGCAGGGGAGACAGAUGGCUGGCAGGCUGGGAAUCAGUAAUGAAUGUACCCACAUCACCCCAGAAUGAUUUAGGGAAAAACCAAGACUGGUAAUGCUUGUGCAUCUGGUUUAACAAAAAACAAUACUGAUACACAGCCAGAUUAAAGGGGAAUGCAGAGAUUGCAUUAUUAGAGUUAUGCUGUGUGUGUGAUUAAUGGUCUGGGAGGGUUCUUGUUGCUGUGUUUCUCAUGGAGCUGGACAGUAAGAACUUGGUAGACUGCUAAUUACCAAAUACAAGAAGUUUCGAUAGACUGACAAUCCUUGAUUCACUGUCUAAACCUCCCACCGCGAAGACUAAACUGUUGACAAAUUUUUCCACCAAAUCAAGUAUGUUUGACAAUGUUGCACCAAUAGUGAUCCCAAAAAAAAUAUUGAUUUCAAAAUGUAUCGGUCUAUCCCUUUGCGUGUGUGUGUGUGUGUUUAUACACACACAUGUCAUAUGAGCAAUAGCUGUUUCCCACCCCCCUGUGUUUUAAACAGACUGGAUUGUGUUUUAAUAUUCUAUUUAAUGUAACAUUAGAUAGUUUUAAAGCAUUAACGUUUUGCAUUAAAUGCAGACACAGCCGAUAUCCACUGUGCUAAAAAAAACAAACAAAAAAAGGGAAGACUUUGAAGAAUUUGCUUCUGUUCAAUGUCCAGAUCAGCAGCAAGUCAUGCAAGUCCCGACUCAAAUUCUACAGAGUAAUUCCUCUGUGUACCGUUCACAAUAUAAUAUCUUCUGGGUUUCCUUUUAGCGACUGAUGUCACUAGUUGAAAGAAAAAAAAUUAUAUAAAAAUAUAUAUAUUCGCCACUUUGUUUGUUUUUUAGGCCCUGACCAAGAUAUAAUAGUUUUUAUAUUUUAAAACAAAGUUUACUUUUAAUGUAUGAUGUGCAUGCAGAUUUAUUGUAAUUCUUUCUUAUACCUUUUUUUGGAGCUGUUUAUAGUAUCUUCCUGUAAAUGUCAGUCAGUGGGGGGAGGGAGGGGUGGACGGGGAUUCAUUGUAAGUAGUUUUAGGCUUGUUUAUUGCAACACUGGCCUCUGAGCCAAAAAGGGAGGACGGAAGGGAGGGUGAAUUAGAAGCUAAUAUUUGAUGUAACUGCUAACAAGGGUCCCUGUAUCUCAUAUGGGGCUUGUUUCGUUUUCAUAAAUAAACAUCAAAAAACUAAAAGAAAAA